AUUAAGUCAAAUGUGAAAUCCCCGAGCUUAACUUGGGAAUUGCAUUCGAUACUGGUUGGCUAGAGUAUGGGAGAGGAUGGUAGAAUUCCAGGUGUAGCGGUGAAAUGCGUAGAGAUCUGGAGGAAUACCGAUGGCGAAGGCAGCCAUCUGGCCUAAUACUGACACUGAGGUGCGAAAGCAUGGGGAGCAAACAGGAUUAGAUACCCUGGUAGUCCAUGCCGUAAACGAUGUCUACUAGCCGUUGGGGCCUUUGAGGCUUUAGUGGCGCAGCUAACGCGAUAAGUAGACCGCCUGGGGAGUACGGUCGCAAGACUAAAACUCAAAUGAAUUGACGGGGGCCCGCACAAGCGGUGGAGCAUGUGGUUUAAUUCGAUGCAACGCGAAGAACCUUACCUGGUCUUGACAUAGUAAGAACUUUCCAGAGAUGGAUUGGUGCCUUCGGGAACUUACAUACAGGUGCUGCAUGGCUGUCGUCAGCUCGUGUCGUGAGAUGUUGGGUUAAGUCCCGCAACGAGCGCAACCCUUUUCCUUAUUUGCCAGCGGGUUAAGCCGGGAACUUUAAGGAUACUGCCAGUGACAAACUGGAG
Molecule: ribosomal RNA, 587 nt
Filed under: uncultured bacterium
Lineage: Bacteria
Description: bacterial SSU rRNA
Rfam family: Bacterial small subunit ribosomal RNA
Source: RNAcentral